This 570-nucleotide ribosomal RNA is filed under the name Triticum aestivum (bread wheat). Its description in RNAcentral is "partial small subunit ribosomal RNA". Lineage: Eukaryota; Viridiplantae; Streptophyta; Magnoliopsida; Poales; Poaceae. The record is from RNAcentral.
AUGUUCUCUUCGCAAUCCUUGAGCCGCGUCAACAACAUUCGCACCGCCCUCAUCGACGCUCAAAAGGGCAACCAGUCCGUCGCUGCCUACUUCGCCUUCAUGCGUGGGCUUGCCGAUGAACUCGCCGCGGUGGGCAAACCCAUCCAGGACGACGAGCUCAUCUCCUAUAUCCUGCACGGGCUGGACAUGGACUACCAGCCCCUGGCCUCAGCUCUCGACGCCCGCGUCACGCCCGUCACCCUCGACGAGCUCUUCGCCAUGCUCAGUAACUUCGAUCAGCGCGUGGCUCACUUCCAGAACUCCGGCGGCGGCUUCAAGUCAUCUGCGAAUGCGGCCACCCGCGGGCGUGGUGGAUACUCAGCUCGCCACCGCGGUCCUCCUCGUCCCGAGGGCAAGCAAGACUCUGGCCGUCCCAACUCCACCAGCAACAGGGGGCGGCGAAGCGGAUCUGGCCGGUCUCGUCCCGACGCCGUGCGCUGUCAAAUCUGUGGGAAACCUGGCCACACAGCUAAAGACUGUUGGUACCGGUUUGAUGAGGACGAGCAAUCAUCACAAGAAGAAGAAAAAUAA